GUAGCGUGAAGGAUGACUGCCCUAUGGGUUGUAAACUUCUUUUAUACGGGAAUAAAGUGAGGCACGUGUGCCUUUUUGUAUGUACCGUAUGAAUAAGGAUCGGCUAACUCCGUGCCAGCAGCCGCGGUAAUACGGAGGAUCCGAGCGUUAUCCGGAUUUAUUGGGUUUAAAGGGAGCGUAGGCGGACGCUUAAGUCAGUUGUGAAAGUUUGCGGCUCAACCGUAAAAUUGCAGUUGAUACUGGGUGUCUUGAGUACAGUAGAGGCAGGCGGAAUUCGUGGUGUAGCGGUGAAAUGCUUAGAUAUCACGAAGGACUCCGAUUGCGAAGGCAGCUUGCUGGACUGUAACUGACGCUGAUGCUCGAAAGUGUGGGUAUCAAACAGGAUUAGAUACCCUGGUAGUCCACACAGUAAACGAUGAAUACUCGCUGUUUGCGAUAUACAGUAAGCGGCCAAGCGAAAGCGUUAAGUAUUCCACCUGGGGAGUACG
This 488-nucleotide ribosomal RNA is filed under the name uncultured bacterium. Its description in RNAcentral is "bacterial SSU rRNA". It matches the Rfam family "Bacterial small subunit ribosomal RNA", at positions 396 to 884 of the family's 1533-position model. The record is from RNAcentral.